Molecule: ribosomal RNA, 253 nt
Filed under: uncultured Acidovorax sp.
Lineage: Bacteria; Pseudomonadati; Pseudomonadota; Betaproteobacteria; Burkholderiales; Comamonadaceae
Description: partial 16S ribosomal RNA
Rfam family: Bacterial small subunit ribosomal RNA
Source: RNAcentral
AAAGGGCACUCUAAUGGGACUGCCGGUGACAAACCGGAGGAAGGUGGGGAUGACGUCAAGUCCUCAUGGCCCUUAUAGGUGGGGCUACACACGUCAUACAAUGGCUGGUACAGAGGGUUGCCAACCCGCGAGGGGGAGCUAAUCCCAUAAAGCCAGUCGUAGUCCGGAUCGCAGUCUGCAACUCGACUGCGUGAAGUCGGAAUCGCUAGUAAUCGCGGAUCAGAAUGUCGCGGUGAAUACGUUCCCGGGCCUU